This 476-nucleotide ribosomal RNA is filed under the name methanogenic bacterium enrichment culture clone MTtB-otu7-3. Its description in RNAcentral is "bacterial SSU rRNA". It matches the Rfam family "Bacterial small subunit ribosomal RNA", at positions 69 to 521 of the family's 1533-position model. The record is from RNAcentral.
UAACAUUUCCUUCGGGAAAGACUGAGGAAUCAGAUAGUGGCGGACGGGUGAGUAACACGUGAAUAACCUGUCCUUGAAUUGAGGAUAACUGGGCGAAAGUCGGGCUAAUCCUGAAUAAGCUGAGAGAGUGGCAUCACUCAAUCAGAAAAGAUGCGGUUCGCAUCGUUCAAGGAGGGAUUCGCGGUGGAUUAGCUGGCUGGUAAGGUAACGGCUUACCAGGGCAACAAUCCAUAGCUGGUCUGAGAGGACGAUCAGCCACACUGGAACUGAGACACGGUCCAGACUCCUACGGGAGGCAGCAGUGGGGAAUCUUCCACAAUGGGCGAAAGCCUGAUGGAGCAACGCCGCGUGARUGAAGAAGGYCUUAGGRUYGUAAAGYUCUGUCCUYAGGGAAGAACCGUGGGUAUAGCAAAUGAUACCCACCUGACGGUACCUUUGGAGGAAGCACUGGCUAACUACGUGCCAGCAGCCGCGGU